AGUGAACGCUGGCGGUAGGCCUAACACAUGCAAGUCGAACGGCAGCACAGUAAGAGCUUGCUCUUACGGGUGGCGAGUGGCGGACGGGUGAGGAAUACAUCGGAAUCUACUUUUUCGUGGGGGAUAACGUAGGGAAACUUACGCUAAUACCGCAUACGACCUACGGGUGAAAGCAGGGGAUCUUCGGACCUUGCGCAAUUGAAUGCGCCGAUGUCGGAUUAGCUGGUUGGCGGGGUAAAGGCCCACCAAGGCGGCGGUCCGUAGCUGGUCUGAGAGGAUGAUCAGCCACACUGGAACUGAGACACGGUCCAGACUCCUACGGGAGGCAGCAGUGGGGAAUAUUGGACAAAGGGCGCAAGCCUGAUCCAGCCAUACCGCGUGGGUGAAGAAGGCCUUCGGGUUGUAAAGCCCUUUUGUUGGGAAAGAAAAGCAGCAGGUUAAUACCCCGCUGUUCUGACGGUACCCAAAGAAUAAGCACCGGCUAACUUCGUG
This 492-nucleotide ribosomal RNA is filed under the name uncultured bacterium. RNAcentral describes it as "partial 16S ribosomal RNA". It matches the Rfam family "Bacterial small subunit ribosomal RNA", at positions 29 to 507 of the family's 1533-position model. The record is from RNAcentral.